GGAGAGUAUUCCUGUAUUGGUACAAGGGGUGUGGUCUGCUGAUACAGCAGCACAGCUGGAAGCUACUACUCAAUUUAGAAAGCUAUUAUCUAUUGAGCGUAGCCCCCCGAUUGAUGAAGUAAUCAAAGCUGGUGUAGUUCCCAAGUUUGUGGAGUUUCUUGGAAGGCAUGAUCUACCCCAGUUGCAAUUUGAAGCUGCAUGGGCCUUAACCAAUAUUGCAU
Molecule: unclassified non-coding RNA, 221 nt
Filed under: Hevea brasiliensis (rubber tree)
Lineage: Eukaryota; Viridiplantae; Streptophyta; Magnoliopsida; Malpighiales; Euphorbiaceae
Source: RNAcentral